AUAGCGUAUAUUAAAGUUGUUGCAGUUAAAAAGCUCGUAGUUGAAUUUCGGGAUCAAUAUGUUGGUCGUGCCUCGGUACGUACUAGCAUAUUGGUUUCUCCUUUCUGAAGAACCAUGAUGUCAUUUAUUUGGUGUCGUGGGGAAUCAGGACUGUUACUUUGAAAAAAUUAGAGUGUUUAAAGCAGGCUCACGCUUGAAUACAUUAGCAUGGAAUAAUGAAAUAGGACGUUUGAUUCUAUUUUGUUGGUUUCUAGGAUCGACGUAAUGAUUAAUAGGGAUAGUUGGGGGCAUUAGUAUUCAAUUGUCAGAGGUGAAAUUCUUGGAUUUAUUGAAGACUAACUACUG
This 345-nucleotide ribosomal RNA is filed under the name uncultured eukaryote. RNAcentral describes it as "SSU rRNA". It matches the Rfam family "Eukaryotic small subunit ribosomal RNA", at positions 594 to 945 of the family's 1831-position model. The record is from RNAcentral.